GACGAACGCUGGCGGCGUGCUUAACACAUGCAAGUCGAACGGAAAGGCCCUGCUUGUGUGGGGUGCUCGUGUGGCGAACGGGUGAGUAACACGUGUGUAACCUGCCCUUGACUUUGGUAUAACUUCAGGAAUCUGGGGCUUAUACCGUAUGGGAGCUCCUUCUGCAUGGUGGGGGUUGGAAAGGUUCGGCGGUUGGGGAUGGACUCGCGGCUUAUCAGCUUGUUGGUGGGGUAGUGGCUUACCAAGGCUUGGACGGGUAGCCGGCCUGAGAGGGUGACCGGCCACAUUGGGACUGAGAUACGGCCCAGACUCCUACGGGAGGCAGCAGUGGAGAAUAUUGCACAAUGGGCGGAAGCCUGAUGCAGCAACGCCGCGUGCGGGAUGACGGCCUUCGGGUUGUAAACCGCUUUCGCCUGUGACGAAGCGUGAGUGACGGGAAUGGGUAAAGAAGCACCGGCUAACUACG
This 466-nucleotide ribosomal RNA is filed under the name uncultured bacterium. Its description in RNAcentral is "partial 16S ribosomal RNA". It matches the Rfam family "Bacterial small subunit ribosomal RNA", at positions 28 to 505 of the family's 1533-position model. The record is from RNAcentral.